Molecule: non-coding RNA, 32 nt
Filed under: Homo sapiens (human)
Lineage: Eukaryota; Metazoa; Chordata; Mammalia; Primates; Hominidae
Source: RNAcentral
CACUUCAGCACCUUGUCCAAAUUGUCUCCUGU